This 561-nucleotide ribosomal RNA is filed under the name uncultured bacterium. RNAcentral's name for it is "partial 16S ribosomal RNA". It matches the Rfam family "Bacterial small subunit ribosomal RNA", at positions 355 to 922 of the family's 1533-position model. The record is from RNAcentral.
UGGGGAAUAUUGCACAAUGGGCGAAAGCCUGAUGCAGCAACGCCGCGUGAGGGACGACGGCCUUCGGGUUGUAAACCUCUUUUAGCAAGGAAGAAGCGAAAGUGACGGUACUUGCAGAAAAAGCGACCGGCUAACUACGUGCCAGCAGCCGCGGUAAUACGUAGGGCGCAAGCGUUAUCCGGAAUUAUUGGGCGUAAAGAGCUCGUAGGCGGUUUGUCGCGUCUGCUGUGAAAACCCGAGGCUCAACCUCGGGCCUGCAGUGGGUACGGGCAGACUAGAGUGCGGUAGGGGAGAUUGGAACUCCUGGUGUAGCGGUGGAAUGCGCAGAUAUCAGGAAGAACACCGAUGGCGAAGGCAGAUCUCUGGGCCGUAACUGACGCUGAGGAGCGAAAAGGGUGGGGAGCAAAACAGGCUUAGAUACCCUGGUAGUCCACCCGUAAACGUUGGGAACUAGUUGUGGGGUCCAUUCCACGGAUUCCGUGACGCAGCUAACGCAAUUAAGUUCCCCGCCUGGGGAGUACGGCCGCAAGGCUAAAAACUUAAAGGAAUUGACGGGGUCAU